GUUCGUUUAUGAAUCGGAAACCACUUCUGCGUGUCGGAGCACGUGCUAUAUUAUAAGGAGUAACUAUAUGUUUUAUGAAAUGUAGUGAAGUAAAAAAUAUGGAUCUUAUGGUUUGGAAUGUAGUGAAGUAAAAGUAAAGUUACUCAAAAUAAAACUACUCCAUUGAAGUACAGAUACUUGAAAAAUGUACUUAAGUACAGUAACGAAGUUACUGUACUUAAGUCAAGUCUGUUCAUGCCAGGUCAAGUCUGUUCAAUUCUGUUCAUGCCAAGUCAAGUCUGUUCAAGUCAAGUCUGUUCAUGCCAGGUCAAGUCUGUUCAAGUCAAGUCUGUUCAAGUCAAGUCUGUUCAUGCCAGGUCAAGUCUGUUCAAGUCAAGUCUGUUCAUGCCAGGUCAAGUCUGUUCAAUUCUGUUCAUGCCAAGUCAAGUCUGUUCAAGUCAAGUCUGUUCAUGCCAGGUCAAGUCUGUUCAAUUCUGUUCAUGUCAAGUCAAGUCUGUUCAAUUCUGUUCAAGUCAAGUCUGUUCAUGCCAGGUCAAGUCUGUUCAAGUCAAGUCUGUUCAUGACAAGUCAAGUCUGUUCAAUUCUGUUCAUGCCAAGUCAAGUCUGUGUUUGGAUUAUGUUUGUAUUUUGGACUACUUUUGGAAUAAAGCUGCACUUGGGUUCUUGGAUCUGUUCAUGCCAGGUCAAGUCUGUUCAAUUCUGUUCAUGCCAAGUCAAGUCUGUUCAAGUCAAGUCUGUUCAUGCCAGGUCAAGUCUGUUCAAUUCUGUUCAUGUCAAGUCAAGUCUGUUCAAUUCUGUUCAAGUCAAGUCUGUUCAUGCCAGGUCAAGUCUGUUCAAGUCAAGUCUGUUCAUGACAAGUCAAGUCUGUUCAAUUCUGUUCAUGCCAAGUCAAGUCUGUGUUUGGAUUAUGUUUGUAUUUUGAACUACUUUUGGAAUAAAGCUGCACUUGGGUUCUUAGACUCGCCUUCAGUGGACUGCCUGUUACAGUAAGGGAGAAUAUUUUACAAUAUAUGGUGCAUAUUGCACAAAUAUGUGACUUUAUA
Cyprinus carpio (common carp) is the source of this 1043-nucleotide long non-coding RNA. The record is from Ensembl. NCBI's taxonomy places the organism in Eukaryota, Metazoa, Chordata, Actinopteri, Cypriniformes, Cyprinidae.